AGACCCGAAACCCGGUGAUCUAGCCAUGGGCAGGUUGAAGGUUGGGUAACACUAACUGGAGGACCGAACCGACUAAUGUUGAAAAAUUAGCGGAUGACCUGUGGCUGGGGGUGAAAGGCCAAUCAAACCGGGAGAUAGCUGGUUCUCCCCGAAAGCUAUUUAGGUAGCGCCUCGUGAAUUCAUCUCCGGGGGUAGAGCACUGUUUCGGCCAGGGGGCCAUCCCGGCUUACCAAUCCGAUGCAAACUGCGAAUACCGGAGAAUGUUAUCACGGGAGACACACGGCGGGUGCUAACGUCCGUCGUGAAGAGGGAAACAACCCAGACCGCCAGCUAAGGUCCCAAAGUCAUGGUUAAGUGGGAAACGAUGUGGGAAGGCCCAGACAGCCAGGAUGUUGGCUUAGAAGCAGCCAUCAUUUAAAGAAAGCGUAAUAGCUCACUGGUCGAGUCGGCCUGCGCGGAAGAUGUAACGGGGCUAAACCAUGCACCGAAGCUGCGGCAGCGAACGUAUCACCCAAGACAACUUUGCACAGUUGACGAUUGACGGAGCGAAGCGACGUCAAAGCGUUUUACAACGUCGAGUUGGCUUAGGGAUACGUUCGUUGGGUAGGGGAGCGUUCUGUAAGCCGUUGAAGGUGUGUCGUGAGGCAUGCUGGAGGUAUCAGAAGUGCGAAUGCUGACAUAAGUAACGAUAAAGCGGGUGAAAAGCCCGCUCGCCGGAAGACCAAGGGUUCCUGUCCAACGUUAAUCGGGGCAGGGUGAGUCGACCCCUAAGGCGAGGCCGAAAGGCGUAGUCGAUGGGAAACGGGUUAAUAUUCCCGUACUUGGUGUUACUGCGAAGGGGGGACGGAGAAGGCUAUGUUGGCCGGGCGACGGUUGUCCCGGUUUAAGCGUGUAGGCUGACUUUCCAGGCAAAUCCGGAGAGUCAAGGCUGAGGCGUGACGACGAGGCACCACGGUGCUGAAGCAACAAAUGCCCUGCUUCCAGGAAAAGCCUCUAAGCCUCAGGUAACAUCAAAUCGUACCCCAAACCGACACAGGUGGUCAGGUAGAGAAUACCAAGGCGCUUGAGAGAACUCGGGUGAAGGAACUAGGCAAAAUGGUGCCGUAACUUCGGGAGAAGGCACGCUGACACGUAGGUGAAGCGGUUUACCCGUGGAGCUGAAGUCAGUCGAAGAUACCAGCUGGCUGCAACUGUUUAUUAAAAACACAGCACUGUGCAAACACGAAAGUGGACGUAUACGGUGUGACGCCUGCCCGGUGCCGGAAGGUUAAUUGAUGGGGUCAGCGCAAGCGAAGCUCCUGAUCGAAGCCCCGGUAAACGGCGGCCGUAACUAUAACGGUCCUAAGGUAGCGAAAUUCCUUGUCGGGUAAGUUCCGACCUGCACGAAUGGCGUAAUGAUGGCCAGGCUGUCUCCACCCGGGACUCAGUGAAAUUGAACUCGCUGUGAAGAUGCAGUGUACCCGCGGCAAGACGGAAAGACCCCGUGAACCUUUACUAUAGCUUGACACUGAACACUGGUCCUUGAUGUGCAGGAUAGGUGGGAGGCUUUGAAGUGUGGACGCCAGUCUGCAUGGAGCCAUCCUUGAAAUACCACCCUUUAAUGGCUGGUGUUCUAACGUGGACCCGUAAUCCGGGUUGCGGACAGUGUCUGGUGGGUAGUUUGACUGGGGCGGUCUCCUCCUAAAGAGUAACGGAGGAGCACGAAGGUUGGCUAAUCCUGGUCGGACAUCAGGAGGUUAGUGCAAUGGCAUAAGCCAGCUUGACUGCGAGCGUGACGGCGCGAGCAGGUGCGAAAGCAGGUCAUAGUGAUCCGGUGGUUCUGAAUGGAAGGGCCAUCGCUCAACGGAUAAAAGGUACUCCGGGGAUAACAGGCUGAUACCGCCCAAGAGUUCAUAUCGACGGCGGUGUUUGGCACCUCGAUGUCGGCUCAUCACAUCCUGGGGCUGAAGUAGGUCCCAAGGGUAUGGCUGUUCGCCAUUUAAAGUGGUACGCGAGCUGGGUUUAGAACGUCGUGAGACAGUUCGGUCCCUAUCUGCCGUGGGCGCUGGAAGAUUGAGGGGGGCUGCUCCUAGUACGAGAGGACCGGAGUGGACGCAUCACUGGUGUUCGGGUUGUCAUGCCAAUGGCACUGCCCGGUAGCUACAUGCGGAAGAGAUAAGUGCUGAAAGCAUCUAAGCACGAAACUUGCCCCGAGAUGAAUCUUCCCUGAGCCUUUAAGGCUCCUGAAGGAACGUUGAAGACGACGACGUUGAUAGGCCGGGUGUGUAAGCGCAGCGAUGCGUUGAGCUAACCGGUACUAAUGAACCGUGAGGCUUAACCUUACAAC
Molecule: ribosomal RNA, 2326 nt
Filed under: Salmonella enterica
Lineage: Bacteria; Pseudomonadati; Pseudomonadota; Gammaproteobacteria; Enterobacterales; Enterobacteriaceae
Also listed under: 1 other name
Description: partial 23S ribosomal RNA
Rfam family: Bacterial large subunit ribosomal RNA
Source: RNAcentral